CAAUAGCGUAUAUUAAAGUUGUUGCGGUAAAAAAGCUCGUAGUUGGAUUUCUGUUGAGAGCGACCGGUCCAUACCAUGUAUGCGUAUCUGGCUUGCUCUCGGCAUCCUCUCGAUAGACGUUACUGCGCUUGAUUGCGUGGUGCGGAUCUCGGGACUUUUACUUUGAGGAAAUUAGAGUGUUCACGGCAGGCUUUCGCCAGAAUACAUUAGUAUGGAAUAAUACUAUAGGAUCUUGGUUCUAUUUUGUUGGUUUCUAGAAUUGAGAUAAUGAUUAAUAGGGACAAUUGGGGGCAUUCGUAUCAACACGUCAGAGGUGGAAUUCUUGGAUUGUGUUGCGACGAACUACUGCGAAAGCAUUUGCCAAGGAUGUUUUCAUUGA
Molecule: ribosomal RNA, 379 nt
Filed under: uncultured eukaryote
Lineage: Eukaryota
Description: partial 18S ribosomal RNA
Rfam family: Eukaryotic small subunit ribosomal RNA
Source: RNAcentral